CUUGCUGCCACCAUGAUUCUGAGGCCUCCUCAGCCAUGUGGAACUGAUCUUCAUGAUGAAUGUACAUCUUUCUGGGCUAAUAUUCCAUUAUUGUAUACAUUCAAAUAACAUCUUGAGGAACUAAUGUUUGUCUUACACACUCUGAGAAAUGCUGUUUCAGCUAAAACUCCUCUACGUGUAUCUAAGCAACCUGUUAACAUUUUACAUCUGUAGUGGGCUGAAUAGUGGCCCCCAAAAGAUAUGUCCACGUCAUAACCCCUAGUACUUGUGAAUAUGACCUUAAUUCAAAAUAGGGUUUUACAGAUGUAAUGAGAUUAACAAAUUCAAGAUGAGAUCACUCUGGCUUCAGGAUGGGCCCUAAAUUCAAUGACUGUUCAUCUACUAGAUGAGAAAGGAGGAGACACAGAGACAUACAGAAAGAAGACCAUGUGAAGAAGGAGGCAAAUAGAGUUAUGCUACCAGAAGCCAAGGAACACCAGGGGUCACCAGAAGCUGGAAGAGGUGGAAAGAGAUUCUCUCUGAGAGCAUUUGGAGGAGACAUGGCCCUACUGACACUCUGAUUUUGGACUUCUGGUCUUCAGAACUGUGAAAGAAUACAUUUGUCUUGUUUUAAACUCCCUGGUGUCUGGCAACAUUGUCAGCUCUAGGAAACGAAAUACAACACGGUCUCUAAUUGUGGAGUAUGCUGACUCAGACUUUGGCCUUUCAUUACUGUAUAAAGACUAGGCAUCUGUGAGCAGAGGGCAGAUUUUUGAGGUCAGAGCCUGAU
Piliocolobus tephrosceles (Ugandan red Colobus) is the source of this 769-nucleotide long non-coding RNA. RefSeq lists it as uncharacterized. NCBI's taxonomy places the organism in Eukaryota, Metazoa, Chordata, Mammalia, Primates, Cercopithecidae. The record is from RefSeq and is a predicted model, not a curated record. The transcript has 3 exons.